GACGAACGCUGGCGGCGUGCUUAACACAUGCAAGUCGAACGCUGAAGCUCAGCUUUUGUUGGGUGGAUGAGUGGCGAACGGGUGAGUAACACGUGAGUAACCUGCCUCCUUCUUUGGGAUAACGCCCGGAAACGGGUGCUAAUACUGGAUAUUCACUGGUCUUCGCAUGGGGGUUGGUGGAAAGGGUUUUUCUGGUGGGGGAUGGGCUCGCGGCCUAUCAGCUUGUUGGUGGGGUGAUGGCCUACCAAGGCUUUGACGGGUAGCCGGCCUGAGAGGGUGACCGGUCACAUUGGGACUGAGAUACGGCCCAUACUCCUACGGGAGGCAGCAGUGGGGAAUAUUGCACAAUGGGCGCAAGCCUGAUGCAGCGACGCCGCGUGAGGGAUGGAGGCCUUCGGGUUGUGAACCUCUUUCGCUCAUGGUCAAGCCGCAACAAUGGUUGUGGUGAGGGUAGUGGGUAAAGAAGCGCCGGCUAACUACGUG
Molecule: ribosomal RNA, 483 nt
Filed under: uncultured bacterium
Lineage: Bacteria
Description: partial 16S ribosomal RNA
Rfam family: Bacterial small subunit ribosomal RNA
Source: RNAcentral